This 280-nucleotide long non-coding RNA is filed under the name Cyanistes caeruleus (blue tit). RNAcentral's name for it is "lncRNA (ENSCCEG00000023483.1)". The record is from RNAcentral. Lineage: Eukaryota; Metazoa; Chordata; Aves; Passeriformes; Paridae.
CCCUCUAGAAGUUGUAAUGUGUAAAGAACAAUUAUGCUUACCUGUCUUUAUUAGGCUGUUUCGCCUUUUCCUGCUGUGAUGAAAACAGGGAGAGAUCUGCCAAAUCAGUACUGUAAAUCUCCAAGAGACCCUUCUCAAGAACAUUGCCAGCUGGGAUUGAAUAGGUGGGAUUAUGACAAUUCUGCAACAGCUCUGUUUCUGAUGAAGAAAAGUUCUCCCCCUUUGGUGACCUUUACAGUGCAGAGAGACUAGAAAAGAGGACCAAAAGAAUAUGUUCAAG